UACGGAGGAUGCAAGCGUUAUCCGGAAUUAUUGGGCGUAAAGCGUCCGUAGGCGGCACUUCAAGUCUGCUGUCAAAGACCGGGGCUCAACUCUGGAGAGGCAGUGGAAACUGAAGCGCUAGAGUGUCGUAGGGGUAGAGGGAAUUCCUGGUGUAGCGGUGAAAUGCGUAGAGAUCAGGAAGAACAUCGGUGGCGAAGGCGGUCUACUGGACGACAACUGACGCUCAGGGACGAAAGCUAGGGGAGCGAAUGGG
This 253-nucleotide ribosomal RNA is filed under the name uncultured bacterium. RNAcentral's name for it is "partial 16S ribosomal RNA". It matches the Rfam family "Bacterial small subunit ribosomal RNA", at positions 524 to 776 of the family's 1533-position model. The record is from RNAcentral.